UAAACGCUGGCGGCGUGCUUAACACAUGCAAGUCGAACGGAGUAGUCCUCGGACGAUGAAGGCUUGCCCGGAGAGAGUCUUGGAAUACUUAGUGGCGGACGGGUGAGUAACGCGUGGGUAACCUGCCUCACACAGGGGGAUAACAGUUGGAAACGACUGUUAAUACCGCAUAAGCGCACAGUACCGCAUGGUACAGUGUGAAAAACUCCGGUGGUGUGAGAUGGACCCGCGUCUGAUUAGCUAGUUGGUGAGGUAACGGCCCACCAAGGCGACGAUCAGUAGCCGGCCUGAGAGGGUGUACGGCCACAUUGGGACUGAGACACGGCCCAAACUCCUACGGGAGGCAGCAGUGGGGAAUAUUGCACAAUGGGGGAAACCCUGAUGCAGCGACGCCGCCGUGAGUGAUGAAGUAUCUCGGUAUGUAAAGCUCUAUCAGCAGGGAAGAUAAUGACGGUACCUGACUAAGAAGCACCGGCUAAAUACGUGCCAGCAGCCGC
Molecule: ribosomal RNA, 497 nt
Filed under: uncultured bacterium
Lineage: Bacteria
Description: bacterial SSU rRNA
Rfam family: Bacterial small subunit ribosomal RNA
Source: RNAcentral